RNAcentral lists this ribosomal RNA (468 nucleotides) under uncultured bacterium. RNAcentral's name for it is "partial 16S ribosomal RNA". It matches the Rfam family "Bacterial small subunit ribosomal RNA", at positions 28 to 507 of the family's 1533-position model. The record is from RNAcentral.
GACGAACGCUGGCGGCGUGCUUAGCACAUGCAAGUCGAACGGAAAGGCCCUGCUUUUGUGGGGUGCUCGAGUGGCGAACGGGUGAGUAACACGUGAGUAACCUGCCCUUGACUUUGGGAUAACUUCAGGAAACUGGGGCUAAUACCGGAUAGGAGCUCCUGCUGCAUGGUGGGGGUUGGAAAGUUUCGGCGGUUGGGGAUGGACUCGCGGCUUAUCAGCUUGUUGGUGGGGUAGUGGCUUACCAAGGCUUUGACGGGUAGCCGGCCUGAGAGGGUGACCGGCCACAUUGGGACUGAGAUACGGCCCAGACUCCUACGGGAGGCAGCAGUGGGGAAUAUUGCACAAUGGGCGGAAGCCUGAUGCAGCAACGCCGCGUGCGGGAUGACGGCCUUCGGGUUGUAAACCGCUUUCGCCUGUGACGAAGCGUGAGUGACGGUAAUGGGUAAAGAAGCACCGGCUAACCACGUG